Brassica rapa (field mustard) is the source of this 5422-nucleotide long non-coding RNA. RefSeq lists it as uncharacterized. Lineage: Eukaryota; Viridiplantae; Streptophyta; Magnoliopsida; Brassicales; Brassicaceae. The record is from RefSeq and is a predicted model, not a curated record.
UUAUUAACAGAAAAUAAUUAUAAUAGCAUUUGUUUUCAAAUACAAGAAAGAUAAUAUUUAGAUAUAUAGUUUAUAUUGUCAGCUAUGAUGAUUAUUUAUCUGCUCCACAUAAAGGCUGAUUUACAAAAUUUAUUAACAUAUUAUAUGAACCAAAUUUUUUUAUAUACAGAAUGUAAAACUUCUAUGUAAAACAUAAUGUAUAGAAACAUGACAAUACUUUAAAGUUUUUUUAUUAUAUUCAAAAUUUUAUGCGUAUACACAAAAUAUGUUUCUAAAAAUCUAACAUUUUAUUUGAAAUCUGAAAUAUUAACCGAAAACCGAAUCUGAAACACAAAAGAAUAAUCGUGACACCGAAGACAUAUUUGAAACAGAAAAAUAUAUUUAAUAUAUACAAUACAUUUUAGAUACUCAGGGUACCGGUUCAGAUCUCUGUAGAAUCCAAACCUAAACCGACACUGUGGGUUUGAAAUAUACCCAAUAAAUAUUUUGCCGUAGAUUUGGAUCUGAACCGAUUCGGAUCGGUUUUUAUUCGAACCAAACAAAAUGUUUAGACCUAAAAAGAGUUACAUAACAAUAUACAUACAAAAUUUUAAAUAAAUUAAUUCAUAAAUCAUAUAAUUUUAUAAAAUUCUAUGUUUUGAUAUAAUUCGAUAUUGUAACAUAAUAACAUACAAAAAUCAUUAAUAUUAUUAAACUUUUUAUUGUAAGAAAACCCGCGCUUUUGAAGCGCGGGUCAAAAUCUAGUAAAUUCUUACAAAGCAGACAUCCAAAUCAACUGAACUGGAUUCAAUACAAAAUUACAAAUGACAAAUUCUAGUAAAGCCUUUUAGACAAAAAUACUGAUUACAUUAACCAACCAUAAAGACAACGUAUACCAAUUAUCAAUGGUCCUAUACCAUAAAAAAAAUUGAGAGAAAAAAUCCAAGAAACCAUAUGGGCAUAGUCACACAGUUGAGGGCAGACAAGUUUUCCGAUUUCAUAUGUUUGUUGCGUUAAUCUUCUGAUUAUAUUGUACAAUAUUACUUUGUUAUGCUAGAACACAAAACCAUUUUUACCAAAGAAAAACACAAAAUCAUUUUUACCAAAAAAAACAAACACAAAAUCAUCGACGGGGUAGAUGUAAAUCCACGAACUUCGCCAUGUUUGGCUGAGAAUAUCUAGAAUUUACUAGAUAAAUUUGGAUAAAAUGAAUAAAUUAGUCAGGUGGAGCUUGCUACGAUUAACACUUUAACCUUUAUGAAAAAGUAUAGUUUUGUGUUAGGAAAGAAAAUGACUUUCUUAUUAAGAAACGUAGAUUCCCCGCCGGUAAUUGAUAAAUUUGACCUUGAAAACCAUAUUAUAUCAGUUACAAAAAAAAAAGAAAACCAUAUUAUAUCGACCCACGAGUCCGUGUUUUUCUUCAGAAUAACCACAAAAAGCAAACUAAAUUAACGGCGACUUAAAAGAAUUUUUCCUUGUUUAGGCUAAGUUUCUCUCUUGCGAAAAAUAUCGUCUGUUUUUGUGAGUGGAGCUUUGGUUGGUGUGCCGGUGACUCAUAACUCACCUCUUCAGUAAAAAAAUGUUUUUUCAAUUAAAUCUUCAGAGUUUUUAGGGUUUGUUCUUAUUAUCAGGCGGUGGUUCUUAUAAUCAUCUGAAAAAUACAUCAUGUCUUAGGAGAUGGAUAAAGCUAUGAUGGAACUGUCAUUAGAGGAAGAAGAUCAACCGUUUAAUAUGCCGGAUCUCCCACAGUUCAAAUCGAGUCAGAAGAAUUCCAGAAAUUUGAUUGGGAGGAUCCUGAAUCCGGAUUGCCAGAAGAUGGCUAAGCUCAUCCUCAGCAUGCCUUGCAAGUGACACAAGGGUGGUAAAGUGAGAGGAGUGGCCUUGUUGAAGGAGAGAUCUUAAUUCAUCUUCGAUCAUGAACAUGACCUGGAAGAAAUACUAGAGAAAGGUGUACACACUUUCAGUGAUUGGACCUUGGCUAUUGAUAGGUGGGUGGAGAGACCACCUCCAGACUAUCUUCAAUUUAUUCCGAUCUGGAUCAAAAUCCGAAACCUUCCGGUAAAUUACUAUACUUCUGAAGCGAUUACAGAUUUGUUAGGAGAAGUCAAAGAGGUGGAUUUUGAUCCAGAAAAGUCGCAAAGUAGGGAGUAUGUAAGGGUGUUAAUCCGCUUCAAGGUAUCCAUGCCUCUGAGGAAGUCUAAGUUGCUGAAUCUUCCUGAAAGGGGCUCUGCCAUAGUCUACUUUAAUUAUGAGAGGAUUUAAAAAACGUGCUAUGAGUGUCAGCGUCUAAACCACUCUAACGAUGUGUGUCCUCUAUUGGUUAAAAAGAGAAAAGAAGAGGCUUUGGGUAGAAGACAAAGAGUUAUUCAGGAUAGAGGCGGUUUGGAGAAAUUUAUUAGAAAAAAUGAUCCCCUUUAUGGUGUUCUUUCUGAGGAUCAAGUUGGUAUCUGCAGAGAGACAGGAAGGAGGAAGGUUGCACAAGAAGUGCUAGAGGAGAUGAGAAGGUAUAUGAUGAUGGCCACUGAUGAUGACAAGCUUGUUCGAAUGGAUAGGGUCCGCUCUUCUAUGGCAGAAGCUGAGAAAGAUCCAUUUACUCAGAAAUCAAUGUUAAGAUUGGAAUCUACUCCUCUAUUUACUAAGCAACUGGAUAAAGGAAAAGGGGUGGUCUAUGAUUUUGAUCUCAAUGUAACUGAGCAAACUCGGGAAGUAAGAGGAGAAUGAAAGAAAAGCUCAUGGAUUAUGCGUUCAGAGCGGGGAGGUGUGGUGACUCAAUGGAACAGUUUGGAGACAUGAGUAUUCAAGUUGGGAGAAGCAAGAGCAGUGUGGAGAGGAAGGAUUUGUCUAAUCCUCAGAUAACUAAGGCUAUGAAGAUCAAUGAGGCAAAUGCUGGUUUUUGCGCUUUGGUGGUAACUCUACGGAAUAUGGUUCUUCCUCUGGGAACAGACCAUCCAGGGUUCCACAAAAGAGUAAUAAUACCAGGAGAAGGCCUUAUAUAAGAAAGAGACAAGAACAGAGAAGUGGUACUUCAAGUGUUUAAUAACUAUAUGGCUCUGAAGUGGAUAAGCAGAAAGUUGGUUAUAAAAGAAGGAUUGAGGGUGAAGAGUGCUCGGGCGGAAAAAUUGCAAGGCGUAAAGAUGCAAGGGUGAUCCCGCACAAGGGAUCACCAAGAUCCUGAUGAGCAUUAUUAGCUGGAAUUGUCAGGGACUGGGAUUCCCUCAGGACCUGACAAUUACACGCCUAAAGGAGAUGCGUCAAAAACAUUUUUCGGAGGUGUUGUUUUUGAUGGAGACUAGUAUCGGCAGAACCUGAUGGGCAUGGGGGGGGGGGGGGGGGGGUCUUGCCAUUUUUUGGAAGAAGUCUAUCAAUAUUGACUUUAAGGUUGUAAACAAGAACUUGAUAGAUUGUAUAUUACAGUUUGGAGAAGUUUCUUUUUUUUGGUCUUGUGUAUAUGGCCUGUCGGAUUGGAGCAGUAGGAUUGAGUUAUGGGAACGCUUGAGUAGGAUAGGUGUGAAUAGAAGGGAUAGUUGGUGUGUGUUUGGAGACUUUAAUGAUAUUUUACAUAAUGGAGAAAAGAUAGGUGGGGUGUGGAGGUCUGAUGAGUCUUUUGUUCCGUUUAACCAGAUGGUGGAGGCUGGUAAACUAGAAGAACUUCCCAGUCAUAGGAAUGGUUUUACCUGGGGAGGGAAGAGAUAUAACUAUUGGAUUCAGUCUAGGUUGGACAGGUGUUUUGGUAAUAAAGCCUGGUUUGAGCAGUUUCCUUGUUCCAAUCAAACUUUUUUGGAUAUAAGGGGUUCUAAUCACCAGCAUGUGUACAUCAAUCUCACGCCUGGAUAAAAGAAAACUGGUGCAAGAAAUAUUUCAAACGUACCUGAGAUGAGGUUUCCACUCAUUUUGUUUGAUAUUCGAUAAUUAAAUUAUAAACAAAAGAAUAUAAGCAGAAAAAAAGAGAUGGUGAGAGGAGAUGAAUAGAUAAAAAGAUUGGAGAAAUAGGACUAUUAUUAAAUACUAAAAGCUAAAUAUACUCCUCAUCUAGCCUGUCUACGUAGGACUAUUAAUUCUAGCCAAUCAUAGAUCUUCAUCUCUCCACAUCACCCCAGUUUAAGUCAAGAAUGAAAAUUUCAGGCUUUUUGUGUGUGAGCUCAUUAGAUUUCGUUAAGGCCCAAGUUCAAACCCACUUCAGCAACACUAAUAUCCUAAUCGACUCUGCCUCAUCCGCUUCGUCUUCUCCGUUUUGGUUCAUGCAAUCUCUGUUACUGUACCUCCUCUCCUUUCCUACCUUCCACCUUUUCUACUCAUAUAUAAAUUGCUAAAUAGCUUCUUCAAAACACACUUCCAUACAAACCCGAACUCUUACCUUAAACGUCUUCUGACUUUUCAAUUUCUAAAAGAUCGAAAAACCUUGACCAAAAAAUGUUUUCUCUGUGUCAUCAUAUACCAGAGUAUGAUAUGAGAAGAAGUAUCCUGAUCCAGUUCUCGAAGAGCCAAUCUUAACGUUUGGUCCACUCUCAGCUGUUUUGCCGAUGAUCUAUUGCGGUGAAGACUCUUCGCAAGAGCUUUCUGAACUUCAUGAUCUCAGUCUGGGGGUACUGCAAAGUGGUGAACAUCUUUUUUUUUCUUUUUUUUUGAAACUUAGUGGUGAACAUCUUGACAAUACUUUUUAAGAAUGUUAUCACGAUCUCAUGAUGAAAUCAAGUAUGGAGCGAUUUCUGCUGUUUUAGACAACAAGAACAUCACUGCCGUGACAAUGGCAGCAAUCGAUGAGAGCCAGGAUAUGCAGAAGAGUGUAAGAUCGGCGUAGUUGAUCCCUUAUGAUUGGUCACAGGUGAGUUGUUGAGAUUCAGAAUUUCCCUUAUUUUGCUCAGUUGGAUUUUGGUUUUGAUUAUGGGAUGCCACGAGCCUUUUAAUGUUUCUGAAGCGUCCAAGUUCCCCGAUGAGCAGUGGGAUCCCAUGUUUACAGUCAGCCUUGCUCAGAAAAACCACCAUCCGCAGCAGUUUCAGACCAAAGGCCCUGCUAAUGUUCCUCCAGAUGGAAUAAGAUUCCCGAAAAGUUGUGUCUUCAACACUCCUCUCUAUGAGCAAGUUGUUAAUGAAGCGCCAAAGUUAAGAUAUGAAUAGGGUAACCUAUUCGAUUGUGGAGAUCUUGAUAGGACUUACGAAAUACAAUCAGAGCACCUUAUGGGGCAGUUUGGCAUUGUGAUAUGUAGUGAGCAAGAGCUUGCUGAAUAUACCCAUUGUUUCAGGUUUUGAAGAAGAACUUGCUGAAUAAGUUUCUACCAUUAAUUUUGUUUAAAAAGCGUUCCUCGAAUCUCUGUCCUAUUAGUUUUAUAGAUUUGGAUCAACUUGUGCACCUAAUAAAUCACAUUUGUGAUGUAUGAAUUAUCAAUGGUUCUUUUGUGUUUUUUGGUAUGGAUUACUCAUUGUUUCAGGGUCAUAUUAGCUUUGA